UUUAUAAGUUGAUGAAUUUCACUUCAUUAAACUGCACACAUAUUCAUAAUUAUUAUUAGGUAAAUUAAUAAAUCACGCAAAUCCUUUGUGGCCAAAUUGGGUGACGGAAAGUGCGGUUUCUUGGGGGUAAGGGCCCCCAGAAAAGCUGGAGAAACAACAUCAGGGUGAGAGUAAGGGCCCUCACCGUUAUGGACAUUGAAUCUCAUGUCCGAGCCGGGCUUCCCCGUGGUGAAGUGACCAAGAGAUGCGAAGAUCAGGACGAGGGUAAGGGUCCCCGCCGUUAUGGACCUUGCUCUCUUUUGCCGGUGUGUGCUUCACCGUGGGCGAAGUGUGGCCGUGUGGACACCACUUUCCGCCAUUGAUCGAAACAAAGUGUAGAUCCCCCACGAGAAGCAUGUUGGUCGGGAAAAAUUAUAAAUAGUUAAUAUGAAGUAUUCAUAGUAUGGUAUAUAGAUGUAUGUUUUAUAGUAUGUAAUGAUGGCGUGCUGCGCAAAUAAGAUAUAUGGUGUCCACGAGAUACUAACACUUAUGCUACGGCUGGAUAAUCAGGGAGGCCAGGAAAAAACCUGCAGUACAGGAAAACCUGGGUAGGGCCAAGACCACCAGUGGCUCCCCACAUAGCUUUAUCUUUACAAAAUUAAGAAAUGUCAGUAUCGCGCUAGACACCACUAAGCUAUUCUGUUAACGCAUGCGUUAUUUGUUUUAUUGUUUUUGGUUUGUUUUCGUUUUCUUUUCUUUUUUUUUUUGUUAUGAAACUACGCUUUUGAGCAUAAAUAAGGGAACUAAACGAUCAGAAUUAAUUUGUCGCAAUCCAAAGCAGAACGCCACCGCACAGUAGACAAUACAUAUAUAGUUCAGGUAAUAGAAUGUAGAUUAUGUCAUAAAUAGUUCAUAUAUACGUAAAGAGUUCAUAGCCAUUAGGACGUAGGAGUGAUCCAGAUAGGUGAUGGAAGGCGGAAACCAAGAUGGCGCAAAUGCUGAGAUCUUCUUCGUGUCCUUCCUUCGUUUGUAACAGAAUGACUAAAAGAGAGACGGAGAAAAGCAAAAACUGAUCUGUGUAUAAUCAUGAGCUGGUCGAUAAUAGUUGUCUCAAUGCGCGAUGAAUAAAUUUGUAGUAGAAUGCGAGUGCUCUACUACCCCUUAAUUUGGCUUUGUCUCGGUGUGUGAUACACUGUAGUGAACUGUGAAGUAUGUUUUGUUCUAAUUGCAUCUUAGCUAAGCUACGACACGUUUGUGAUUAAUUGCUUUCUCUUUUGUUAUGCAUUGUUUUAAUUAGGCACAGAGGUGAAAAUAUGCGACUUUGACUAACAUUUUUAAUCGGCCUCGUACAUGCUUAUUUUUUCUCUACUUGGCAUGAAAGGCAUGUCAUUCAAUAGCUAAAAGCC
Paramuricea clavata is the source of this 1385-nucleotide non-coding RNA. NCBI's taxonomy places the organism in Eukaryota, Metazoa, Cnidaria, Anthozoa, Malacalcyonacea, Plexauridae. The record is from the annotation of a GenBank genome assembly.